GCCGUUGUAGCUCAGUGGUAGAGCAACGCCAUGGUAAGGCGUAGGUCACCAGUUCAAUCCUGGUCAACGGCU
RNAcentral lists this transfer RNA (72 nucleotides) under Candidatus Uhrbacteria bacterium. Its description in RNAcentral is "tRNA-Thr". It matches the Rfam family "tRNA". Rfam says of the family: Transfer RNA (tRNA) molecules are approximately 80 nucleotides in length. The record is from RNAcentral. Lineage: Bacteria; Candidatus Uhriibacteriota.